UACGGAGGGUGCGAGCGUUGUCCGGAAUCACUGGGCGUAAAGGGCGCGUAGGCGGCCUGAUAAGUAGGGGGCGAAAUCCUGCGGCUUAACCGCAGGGCUGCCUUCUAAACUGUCGGGCUAGAGCACGGUAGAGGCAGAUGGAAUUCCCGGUGUAGCGGUGGAAUGCGUAGAGAUCGGGAAGAACAUCAGUGGCGAAGGCGGUCUGCUGGGCCGUUGCUGACGCUGAGGCGCGACAGCGUGGGGAGCAAACAGG
RNAcentral lists this ribosomal RNA (253 nucleotides) under uncultured bacterium. RNAcentral's name for it is "partial 16S ribosomal RNA". It matches the Rfam family "Bacterial small subunit ribosomal RNA", at positions 524 to 776 of the family's 1533-position model. The record is from RNAcentral.